This 585-nucleotide ribosomal RNA is filed under the name uncultured bacterium. RNAcentral's name for it is "partial 16S ribosomal RNA". It matches the Rfam family "Bacterial small subunit ribosomal RNA", at positions 355 to 1375 of the family's 1533-position model. The record is from RNAcentral.
UGGGGAAUUUUGGACAAUGGGCGAAAGCCUGAUCCAGCAAUGCCGCGUGUGUGAAGAAGGCCUUCGGGUUGUAAAGCACUUUUGUCCGGAAAGAAAUCCUUGGCUCUAAUACAGUCGGGGGAUGACGGUACCGGAAGAAUAAGCACCGGCUAACUACGUGCCAGCAGCCGCGGUAAUACGUAGGGUGCAAGCGUUAAUCGGAAUUACUGGGCGUAAAGCGUGCGCAGGCGGUUUGCUAAGACCGAUGUGAAAUCCCCGGGCUCAACCUGGGAACUGCAUUGGUGACUGGCAGGCUAGAGUAUGGCAGAGGGGGGUAGAAUUCCACGUGUAGCAGUGAAAUGCGUAGAGAUGUGGAGGAAUACCGAUGGCGAAGGCAGCCCCUGGGCCAAUACUGACGCUCAUGCACGAAAGCGUGGGGAGCAAACAGGAUUAGAUACCCUGGUAGUCCACGCCCUAAACGAUGUCAACUAGUUGUUGGGGACUUCAUUUCCUUAGUAACGUAGCUAACGCGUGAAGUUGACCGCCUGGGGAGUACGGUCGCAAGAUUAAAACUCAAAGGAAUUGACGGGGUCAUAGCUGUUUCCU